This 232-nucleotide long non-coding RNA is filed under the name Homo sapiens (human). Its description in RNAcentral is "HSALNT0225110". Lineage: Eukaryota; Metazoa; Chordata; Mammalia; Primates; Hominidae. The record is from RNAcentral.
UAUCUUGAGCUUAUGGAUGAUUUAUUGCAACUGGCUGUUACUUCUCUCCCUUGAGCUCAUGGAGGGUGUCUUGGUCCUGAUUAUAUUUCAAGCGAACCUUCCCACUGUGAACUACUGGCAUCUUACUUUUUGACCCCUUGACAAGAAGAACUGGAGUUACCAAAAUGCUGUCAUUUAAGGUGUUGGAGUGGAAACCAGAACAUUACCUAUUAUCAAGAAGGGGUUUCUUCUA